RNAcentral lists this ribosomal RNA (253 nucleotides) under uncultured bacterium. RNAcentral's name for it is "partial 16S ribosomal RNA". It matches the Rfam family "Bacterial small subunit ribosomal RNA", at positions 524 to 776 of the family's 1533-position model. The record is from RNAcentral.
UACGUAGGGCGCAAGCGUUGUCCGGAAUUAUUGGGCGUAAAGAGCUCGUAGGCGGCUUGUCACGUCGGGUGUGAAAGCCCGGGGCUUAACCCCGGGUCUGCAUCCGAUACGGGCAGGCUAGAGUGUGGUAGGGGAGAUCGGAAUUCCUGGUGUAGCGGUGAAAUGCGCAGAUAUCAGGAAGAACACCCGUGGCGAAAGCGGCUCUCUGGAACGGUACUGACGCUGAGACGCGAAAGCGUGGGGAGCGAACAGG